RNAcentral lists this ribosomal RNA (552 nucleotides) under uncultured archaeon. RNAcentral describes it as "bacterial SSU rRNA". It matches the Rfam family "Archaeal small subunit ribosomal RNA", at positions 307 to 859 of the family's 1478-position model. The record is from RNAcentral.
GACAAGGUUCCAGGCCCUACGGGGUGCAGCAGGCGCGAAACCUCCGCAAUGUGAGAAAUCGCGACGGGGGGAUCCCAAGUGCCAUUCUUAACGGGAUGGCUUUUCAUUAGUGUAAAGAGCUUUUGGAAUAAGGGCUGGGCAAGACCGGUGCCAGCCGCCGCGGUAACACCGGCAGCUCUAGUGGUAGCAGUUUUUAUUGGGCCUAAAGCGUCCGUAGCCGGUUUAAUAAGUCUCUGGUGAAAUCCUGUAGCUUAACUGUGGGAAUUGCUGGAGAUACUAUUAGACUUGAGACCGGGAGAGGUUAGAGGUACUCCCAGGGUAGAGGUGAAAUUCUGUAAUCCUGGGAGGACCGCCUGUUGCGAAGGCGUCUAACUGGAACGGUUCUGACGGUGAGGGACGAAAGUUAGGGGCGCGAACCGGAUUAGAUACCCGGGUAGUCCUAACCGUAAACGAUGCGGACUUGGUGUUGGGGUGGCUUUGAGCUGCUCCAGCGCCGAAGGGAAGCUGUUAAGUCCGCCGCCUGGGAAGUACGGUCGCAAGACUGAAACUUAA